Non-coding RNA from Pelobates cultripes (western spadefoot toad), 209 nucleotides. The record is from the annotation of a GenBank genome assembly. Lineage: Eukaryota; Metazoa; Chordata; Amphibia; Anura; Pelobatidae.
AUAAAGGACAUGGCACUAAGUUUAUAACCGCACACUAUUAUUAAUUUUUAUCUUAGAAAUGCAAUUUUAAGAUGGAAUAUCAAGUAAAUGUAGAAACGACCAUGCUCGCUGAUGUGACUCUUCUUCGCCUUUCCAAGUCCCUUAGUCAUCAUCAAAGCACACCAUCUCAGCGACCAAAUACUGAAGCAGUCUAUAGAAAAUCGUGGCGC